RNAcentral lists this ribosomal RNA (454 nucleotides) under uncultured bacterium. RNAcentral describes it as "bacterial SSU rRNA". It matches the Rfam family "Bacterial small subunit ribosomal RNA", at positions 340 to 786 of the family's 1533-position model. The record is from RNAcentral.
UACGGAAGGCAGUAGUGGGGAAUAUUGCACAAUGGGCGCAAGCCUGAUGCAGCCAUGCCGCGUGUAUGAAGAAGGCCUUCGGGUUGUAAAGUACUUUCAGUCGUGAGGAAGGUGUUAAGGUUAAUAACCUUAGCAAUUGACGUUAGCGACAGAAGAAGCACCGGCUAACUCCGUGCCAGCAGCCGCGGUAAUACGGAGGGUGCGAGCGUUAAUCGGAAUUACUGGGCGUAAAGGGCACGCAGGCGGUUAAUUAAGUUGGAUGUGAAAUCCCCGGGCUUAACCUGGGAAUGGCAUUCAAGACUGGUUAGCUAGAGUCUUGUAGAGGGGGUAGAAUUCCAUGUGUAGCGGUGAAAUGCGUAGAGAUGUGGAGGAAUACCGGUGGCGAAGGCGGCCCCUGGACAAAGACUGACGCUCAUGUGCGAAAGCGUGGGGAGCGAAACAGGGAUUAGAUACC